Molecule: ribosomal RNA, 253 nt
Filed under: uncultured bacterium
Lineage: Bacteria
Description: partial 16S ribosomal RNA
Rfam family: Bacterial small subunit ribosomal RNA
Source: RNAcentral
CACGUAGGGGGCGAGCGUUAUUCGGAAUUAUUGGGCGUAAAGGGCGCGUAGGCGGCUAGACAAGUCAGGGGUGAAAUCCCUCGGCUCAACCGAGGAACUGCCUUUGAAACUGUCUGGCUUGAGGCCGGGAGAGGGUGGUGGAAUUCCCAGUGUAGCGGUGAAAUGCGUAGAUAUUGGGAGGAACACCAGUGGCGAAGGCGGCCACCUGGACCGGUUCUGACGCUGAGGCGCGAAAGUGUGGGGAGCAAACAGG